UGGGGUGUAGCUCAGUGUAGAGCACUUGCUUAGCCUUCAAAAGGCCUUGGGUUCCAUCCCCAGCAUCAUAA
This 71-nucleotide transfer RNA is filed under the name Fukomys damarensis (Damara mole-rat). It matches the Rfam family "tRNA". From Rfam's summary of the family: Transfer RNA (tRNA) molecules are approximately 80 nucleotides in length. Their secondary structure includes four short double-helical elements and three loops (D, anti-codon, and T loops). Lineage: Eukaryota; Metazoa; Chordata; Mammalia; Rodentia; Bathyergidae. The record is from Rfam by way of RNAcentral.